RNAcentral lists this unclassified non-coding RNA (369 nucleotides) under Hevea brasiliensis (rubber tree). Lineage: Eukaryota; Viridiplantae; Streptophyta; Magnoliopsida; Malpighiales; Euphorbiaceae. The record is from RNAcentral.
GAAAUACUAGUGAGCUGACAUAACUCUCUUGGUAAGGUUCUUAAAUAAUGUAAAGUACAAAGAGCAUGAAAAAAAUAGCAACAUGGCAAAUGUAGAGCGAAAUCGACAGAUUCCAUACCACUUGGAGAGGGUUGAGAAACUUUGAGCAAUGAGCCACUCAUGUUAUCCUCAAGAGCAUGAAGGUGUUCAUAGUUCCACUUCAGAGGCUGCAGAGUUUGUGCUUAGAAGAGAGUCAUAAACACUGGAAUCGAGGCGAUUAAUCUUCUUCAUAAUCUCGCAAAACUUCUCAGCUCUAACAGGAUCAUUACUGUCCUCAAAAUAAGCUAGAAACAUCUUGAUGGAUUCAUCCUUAGGAAACCAAACUUUUUU